UUUCCGUAGGUGAACCUGCGGAAGGAUCAUUAAUGAGUUGUAAUGGGGUUCGAUGCUGGCAGCCAAUUUUUGGAUGCAUGUCCUUGCCCUAACAAUCAUCUUCCAAACACCUGUGCACAUUUUUGAGUGAGUCUUGAGUUAGUUGCCGCUCUUGGGUGCUUUUCUCACAUUCCCUUAAAUCAUUAUACCCUAUUAACAAUUUUUAGCGUGCUCUGUUCCUCAAGGACAUUAAUAUAAUACAACUUUUAACAACGGAUCUCUUGGUUCUG
RNAcentral lists this unclassified non-coding RNA (269 nucleotides) under plant metagenome. RNAcentral's name for it is "partial contains small subunit ribosomal RNA, internal transcribed spacer 1, and 5.8S ribosomal RNA". The record is from RNAcentral.